RNAcentral lists this ribosomal RNA (429 nucleotides) under Bacteroidota bacterium. Its description in RNAcentral is "Bacteroidetes bacterium partial 16S ribosomal RNA". It matches the Rfam family "Bacterial small subunit ribosomal RNA", at positions 355 to 776 of the family's 1533-position model. Lineage: Bacteria; Pseudomonadati; Bacteroidota. The record is from RNAcentral.
UCGGGAAUCUUCGGCAAUGGGGGGAACCCUGACCGAGCAACGCCGCGUGAGUGAAGAAGGUUUUCGGAUCGUAAAGCUCUGUUGUUAAGGAAGAACGAGUGUGAGAAUGGAAAGUUCAUGCUGUGACGGUACUUAACCAGAAAGGGACGGCUAACUACGUGCCAGCAGCCGCGGUAAUACGUAGGUCCCGAGCGUUGUCCGGAUUUAUUGGGCGUAAAGCGAGCGCAGGCGGUUAGAAAAGUCUGAAGUGAAAGGCAGUGGCUCAACCAUUGUAGGCUUUGGAAACUGUUUAACUUGAGUGCAGAAGGGGAGAGUGGAAUUCCAUGUGUAGCGGUGAAAUGCGUAGAUAUAUGGAGGAACACCGGUGGCGAAAGCGGCUCUCUGGUCUGUAACUGACGCUGAGGCUCGAAAGCGUGGGGAGCGAACAGG